Molecule: ribosomal RNA, 449 nt
Filed under: uncultured bacterium
Lineage: Bacteria
Description: partial 16S ribosomal RNA
Rfam family: Bacterial small subunit ribosomal RNA
Source: RNAcentral
AACGAACGCUGGCGGCAGGCCUAACACAUGCAAGUCGAACGAAGUCUUCGGACUUAGUGGCGCACGGGUGAGUAACACGUGGGAAUAUACCUCUUGGUGGGGAAUAACAUCGGGAAACUGAUGCUAAUACCGCAUACGCCCUUCGGGGGAAAGAUUUAUCGCCGAGAGAUUAGCCCGCGUCCGAUUAGCUAGUUGGUGAGGUAACGGCUCACCAAGGCGACGAUCGGUAGCUGGUCUGAGAGGAUGAUCAGCCACACUGGGACUGAGACACGGCCCAGACUCCUACGGGAGGCAGCAGUGGGGAAUAUUGGACAAUGGGGGCAACCCUGAUCCAGCCAUGCCGCGUGAGUGAUGAAGGCCUUAGGGUUGUAAAGCUCUUUCACCCACGACGAUGAUGACGGUAGUGGGAGAAGAAGCCCCGGCUAACUUCGUGCCAGCCGCCGCCGUAA